Molecule: ribosomal RNA, 891 nt
Filed under: Vreelandella stevensii
Lineage: Bacteria; Pseudomonadati; Pseudomonadota; Gammaproteobacteria; Oceanospirillales; Halomonadaceae
Description: bacterial SSU rRNA
Rfam family: Bacterial small subunit ribosomal RNA
Source: RNAcentral
UUACUGGGCGUAAAGCGCGCGUAGGUGGCUUGAUAAGCCGGUUGUGAAAGCCCCGGGCUCAACCUGGGAACGGCAUCCGGAACUGUCAAGCUAGAGUGCAGGAGAGGAAGGUAGAAUUCCCGGUGUAGCGGUGAAAUGCGUAGAGAUCGGGAGGAAUACCAGUGGCGAAGGCGGCUUUCUGGACUGACACUGACACUGAGGUGCGAAAGCGUGGGUAGCAAACAGGAUUAGAUACCCUGGUAGUCCACGCCGUAAACGAUGUCGACCAGCCGUUGGGUGCCUAGCGCACUUUGUGGCGAAGUUAACGCGAUAAGUCGACCGCCUGGGGAGUACGGCCGCAAGGUUAAAACUCAAAUGAAUUGACGGGGGCCCGCACAAGCGGUGGAGCAUGUGGUUUAAUUCGAUGCAACGCGAAGAACCUUACCUACUCUUGACAUCCUGCGAACUUGUGAGAGAUCACUUGGUGCCUUCGGGAACGCAGAGACAGGUGCUGCAUGGCUGUCGUCAGCUCGUGUUGUGAAAUGUUGGGUUAAGUCCCGUAACGAGCGCAACCCUUGUCCUUAUUUGCCAGCGCGUAAAGGCGGGAACUCUAAGGAGACUGCCGGUGACAAACCGGAGGAAGGUGGGGACGACGUCAAGUCAUCAUGGCCCUUACGAGUAGGGCUACACACGUGCUACAAUGGUCGGUACAAAGGGUUGCCAACUCGCGAGAGUGAGCCAAUCCCGAAAAGCCGAUCUCAGUCCGGAUCGGAGUCUGCAACUCGACUCCGUGAAGUCGGAAUCGCUAGUAAUCGUGGAUCAGAAUGCCACGGUGAAUACGUUCCCGGGCCUUGUACACACCGCCCGUCACACCAUGGGAGUGGACUGCACCAGAAGUGGUUAGCCUAACGC